CCUACGGGUGGCAGCAGUGGGGAAUAUUGCACAAUGGGCGAAAGCCUGAUGCAGCAACGCCGCGUGAAGGAAGAAGGUUUUCGGCUCGUAAACUUCUAUCAACAGGGAAGAAAGAAAUGACGGUACCUGACUAAGAAGCCCCGGCUACCUACGGGCCAGCAGCCGCGGUAAUACGUAGGGGGCAAGCGUUAUCCGGAAUUACUGGGUGUAAAGGGUGAGUAGGCGGCAUGGUAAGCCAGAUGUGAAAGCCUUGGGCUUAACCCGAGGAUUGCAUUUGGAACUAUCCAGCUAGAGUGCAGGAGAGGAGAGCGGAAUUCCUAGUGUAGCGGUGAAAUGCGUAGAUAUUAGGAAGAACACCAGUGGCGAAGGCGGAUGACUGGACGGCAACUGACGGUGAGGCGCGAAAGCGUGGGGAGCAAACAGGAUUAGAUACCCUUGUAGUC
This 443-nucleotide ribosomal RNA is filed under the name uncultured bacterium. RNAcentral's name for it is "partial 16S ribosomal RNA". It matches the Rfam family "Bacterial small subunit ribosomal RNA", at positions 338 to 795 of the family's 1533-position model. The record is from RNAcentral.